RNAcentral lists this ribosomal RNA (254 nucleotides) under uncultured bacterium. Its description in RNAcentral is "partial 16S ribosomal RNA". It matches the Rfam family "Bacterial small subunit ribosomal RNA", at positions 524 to 776 of the family's 1533-position model. The record is from RNAcentral.
CACGUAGGGUGCGAGCGUUGUCCGGAAUUAUUGGGCGUAAAGAGCUCGUAGGCGGUGUGUCGCGUCGGCCGUGAAAACCUGCAGCUUAACUGUGGGCUUGCGGUCGAUACGGGCAUCACUGGAGUUCGGCAGGGGAGACUGGAAUUCCUGGUGCAGCGGUGAAAUGCGCAGAUAUCAGGAGGAACACCGGUGGCGAAGGCGGGUCUCUGGGCCGAUACUGACGCUGAGGAGCGAAAGCGUGGGGAGCAAACAGG